RNAcentral lists this unclassified non-coding RNA (253 nucleotides) under uncultured Flavobacteriaceae bacterium. RNAcentral's name for it is "contains 16S-23S intergenic spacer region". It matches the Rfam family "Bacterial small subunit ribosomal RNA", at positions 524 to 776 of the family's 1533-position model. Lineage: Bacteria; Pseudomonadati; Bacteroidota; Flavobacteriia; Flavobacteriales; Flavobacteriaceae. The record is from RNAcentral.
UACGGAGGAUGCAAGCGUUAUCCGGAAUCAUUGGGCUUAAAGGGUCCGUAGGCGGGGCGAUAAGUCAGUGGUGAAAGUCUGCAGCUCAACUGUAGAAUUGCCAUUGAUACUGGUGACCUUGAGUAAUUAUGAAGUGGUUAGAAUAUGUAGUGUAGCGGUGAAAUGCAUAGAUAUUACAUAGAAUACCGAUGGCGAAGGCAGAUCACUAAUAAUUCACUGACGCUGAUGGGCGAAAGCGUAGGUAGCGAACAGG